RNAcentral lists this ribosomal RNA (253 nucleotides) under uncultured bacterium. RNAcentral describes it as "partial 16S ribosomal RNA". It matches the Rfam family "Bacterial small subunit ribosomal RNA", at positions 524 to 776 of the family's 1533-position model. The record is from RNAcentral.
UACGAAGGGGGCGAGCGUUGCUCGGAAUUACUGGGCGUAAAGGGCGCGUAGGCGGCGACUCUAGUCAGAUGUGAAAGUCCUGGGCUUAACCUGGGGACUGCAUUUGAUACUGGGUUGCUUGAAUUCGGGAGAGGAUAGCGGAAUUCCCAGUGUAGAGGUGAAAUUCGUAGAUAUUGGGAAGAACACCGGUGGCGAAGGCGGCUAUCUGGACCGACAUUGACGCUGAGGCGCGAAAGCGUGGGGAGCAAACAGG